CGGUAAGGCCCUUUCGGGGGUACACGAGCGGCGAACGGGUGAGUAACACGUGGGUGACCUGCCCUCAGCUCUGGGAUAAGCCUGGGAAACUGGGUCUAAUACCGGAUAUGACUUCACAUCGCAUGGUGUGUUGUGGAAAGUUUUUUCGGCUGGGGAUGGGCCCGCGGCCUAUCAGCUUGUUGGUGGGGUGAUGGCCUACCAAGGCGACGACGGGUAGCCGGCCUGAGAGGGCGACCGGCCACACUGGGACUGAGACACGGCCCAUACUCCUACGGGAGGCAGCAGUGGGGAAUAUUGCGCAAUGGGCGGAAGCCUGACGCACCGACGCCGCGUGGGGGAUGACGGCCUUCGGGUUGUAAACCUCUUUCGACCUUGACGAAGGCCUUCGGGUUGACGGUAGGGGUAGAAGAAGCACCGGCCAACUACGUGCCAGCAGCCGCGGUAAUACGUAGGGUGCGAGCGUUGUCCGGAAUUAUUGGGCGUAAAGAGCUCGUAGGCGGUCUGUCGCGUCGGUCGUGAAAACUUGGGGCUUAACCCUGAGCUUGCGGUCGAUACGGGCGUGACUGGAGUUCGGCAGGGGAGACUGGAAUUCCUGGUGUAGCGGUGAAAUGCGCAGAUAUCAGGAGGAACACCGGUGGCGAACGCGGGUCUCUGGGCCGAUACUGACGCUUAGGAGCGAAAGCGUGCGGAGCGAACAGGAUUAGAUACGCUGGUAGUCCACGCCGUAAACAGUGGGCGCUAGGUGUGGGGGCCAUUCCACGGUCUCUGUGCCGCAACUCACGCAUUAAGCGCCCCGCCUGAGGAGUACGGCCGUCAGGCUCAUACUCAUAUGAAUUGACCGGG
RNAcentral lists this ribosomal RNA (843 nucleotides) under uncultured Actinomycetes bacterium. RNAcentral describes it as "bacterial SSU rRNA". It matches the Rfam family "Bacterial small subunit ribosomal RNA", at positions 67 to 918 of the family's 1533-position model. Lineage: Bacteria; Bacillati; Actinomycetota; Actinomycetes. The record is from RNAcentral.